UACGUAGGGGGCGAGCGUUGUCCGGAUUUACUGGGCGUAAAGCGCGUGUAGGCGGCCGGCUAAGUCGGGUGUGAAAGCCCGGGGCUCAACCUGGGAACUGCAUCCGAUACUGGAUGGCUUGAAUUCGGGAGAGGGAUGCAGAAUUCCAGGUGUAGCGGUGAAAUGCGUAGAUAUCUGGAGGAAUACCGGUGGCGAAGGCGGCAUCCUGGACCGACAUUGACGCUGAGGAGCGAAAGCCAGGGGAGCAAACGGG
Molecule: ribosomal RNA, 253 nt
Filed under: uncultured bacterium
Lineage: Bacteria
Description: partial 16S ribosomal RNA
Rfam family: Bacterial small subunit ribosomal RNA
Source: RNAcentral